Salmo salar (Atlantic salmon) is the source of this 54-nucleotide non-coding RNA. NCBI's taxonomy places the organism in Eukaryota, Metazoa, Chordata, Actinopteri, Salmoniformes, Salmonidae. The record is from Rfam.
UGCAUUCACUACUGUAAGUCGCUCUGGAUAAGAGCAUCUAAUAAAUGACUAAAA